This is a long non-coding RNA of Acinonyx jubatus (cheetah), 10111 nucleotides long. RefSeq lists it as uncharacterized. The transcript is spliced from 2 exons. NCBI's taxonomy places the organism in Eukaryota, Metazoa, Chordata, Mammalia, Carnivora, Felidae. The record is from RefSeq and is a predicted model, not a curated record.
CACAGGGGUGCAUACGCUUCAGGGGGUGGUGGGGACAGCCACAACAGAUGCCAGAGUGGAAAGGCUGGAGGGCAGGUGGGAUGCUGGAGAGGGACAGGCCAGGGGCCUGUUAUUAGUCCUUAGUCCUUGACUAAGGGCCUUAGUCCCUAGUCGAUCUGGCUCCCAAUCUACUAGGGGUGUGACCCUACAAAACCUCAGUGACUUUCAGGGCCUUCUUGGAUGCUAUUUUCACCAGGACAGCCAGGCUGCGACAGGAUGUGGGUCGGGACUCUGGGGACCGAAUUCCUUUCCUCAGAGUGGUGCAAUGGCUCUAUAGGUGUGGUGGCUGUGCGGAGGAAGUACAGAUGUGGGUGGCUCUGUUUCCUGUUGCCUCUGUGGCUGCUGAAAUGGUAGGCCCCAGCUGGACUUCCCCCUCCCCUACAUCUCCUAGGUUGCAGGGGCUGCACCGGCCCCCCACCUCCUCCUGGGGUCCCCUAGAGUUCCUGAGAUUCCCAAGAAAAACUCACAGGACAUUCUGGGCAUUCCUGGUAUGACUCAGAACAAUAUCAAGCCACUAUUUUGCUUUAACAACAAACUACAUUCAGAACACAUUGGUAAGCCUAAAAAUAACGCGAAAGCUCAUCUCAUCGAACUCCUGUCCCCACCCCUGUACUCUUACAGGUGGAGAUAGUGAGGCCCAGAAAAGUCAGAUGACUUGGCCCACGGAGAUCACAUCAAGCGGACCCAGGACCACUCAGAUACGCUGGGGCCAAGGCUUUUUCAGAGAGCUGAUGGGCACGGGAUGGUCGGCAGUGGAAAGGGCUGGUGGAAGCCCAGGGGAGGAUGCCAAGAAGCAACUAGAGGGAAAAGAGUUUGCUGAGGAAAAUAGUGCUGGAGGCUCUCAGCCAGUGGGGCUAAGGCAUGGAGAAGUGAAAGCCAGGUGGGCUGGGCACGUAUGGGGUGCAGCAGCCCAGGGGGAGACAAGGGGCCCAGGAGAUAGAACCACAGCACCAGGCGGACCUGGGCUGAGAGAAUAAGGCAGGAAUCCUGGCAUGGCCAGCCGGGAGUACGCAACAAGAAGCCCGGCCUCUUGCCAGGUCACAUGGGGUGAGGCAGGUCAGAGGUCUAAUGAGGCAUUUCCUCUCUCUCUCUUCCUUGGGAUGGGACAGAAUAGGAACCUCUAUCCCGCCCGCCCCGCAAGAUCCAGCAGGAGGAACGGACUGUAAGGACGACUCGGUGUUUACUUUGUGCCUAGCACCUAGAGGCAGCUGUUACCACUCCCGUUUUACAGGUGGCUCUGAGGCUCACAGGAAGUGCCUGGCAGAUGGUGGCUGUUGUCACUAACACCACACCCUCUUGCUCAUCACUGGCUCAGUGUGCUCACUCACCAUGCCCUCUGAGACGCCUUGCCAGGAGCCCCUCUCCUGGAGACUAAGCCUCCCGAGUCCCUGGAGCCUGCGGGCCUUGGCACAGGCUGUUGUCCUUUUCCAUUUGCUGGUCUUGCCAGCCACAAGGGCACUCCUUGAAUGCAGGCUAGAGCAUCCAGCCCUAGUGGGUGCUCAGGAAGCACAUUCUGGAUCCAUCCCUCCAUCCCGCCAACAUGUCCGGAGCGUCCAAGCUCUGCAAGGCCCUGGGAAUCAUGGGUAUCCCCAUACCCAGAGUCCUUCCCCCCUCAAGAUCAUACUUGAAUGAAGGAGACAGGGUGACAGCAGGGACAAUGGCACGUGGUAAGUGCCACCGUGGAGGCUGCGGAGCCCAGAGGAGGGCCAGACCCUGCCACUCUCAGCAGGUGAGUGGUGGGCCUGCCCUGGGCUGGCUCAUCACCCCUGCAGGAAGGACACACGUGCUGCUGUGAAUACCAACGUGGUGCCCCGGGGCCCCAGCAGGCCUGUCCCCACCACCUCCCCCAAAGGCUGAACCAGAAAUAGACCCGCUAUCUCCACACACCUGCAAGCCUGGCCCUGCUCUGGGGACCUGCAUUCACUCUGCUCCUCAGGGGAACCAGUGGAAAGAAAACAAGGCCUCAGAGUCUGAUCACUGCCAGGGGAGACCACAACCAAUUCUCUGGCCCCCACGGUUGAGCAUCAUACUGCCUGUUCCCACCUCAUCCGUGCUCUGCACGGUCCUGGCAUGCCUGACUCUCUAGGCCUGGGCACCCAGGCACCCCCACCAAUAUGUGCGUGGGCCCAAGCCCUUGCCCACAGGCCAAGCACCGUGCUGGGCACUCUGGGGCCUGACAGGGGCCAAGCAGCCAUGCUCGUGGUCACCGAUCAGCCACCAUGCAGCAGCCUGCAAGAACCCCCACGUGCAUUGUGGCAUUCGGUGCUCUCAGGGGCCCGGGCGUCACACACCAUCUCCUCGCUCCACAGAUGAGGACACAGACUCUGAGAGGUGAAACAGUUUGCCCACACAGGUCCCCCACUCCUCAGCUGGAGCCUUUAACCCUGUCACCCCAAUGCAGAGCCCCUUCCCACAUGCUGGGCACAGUGCAGGUGGCACAGUCUUGGCCGCAGGCACUCGAGCAGGUACUCCAUGAGGUUGGGUUUGAGCUAAGCUUCCAAAGAGGGGACAAAAGAGGACCAGGCACUUCGGGGGACACAGCACAGGCCUGAUGGGGGGGCUGAGGGUGGGGAGGAGCCUAGCCUGCCUAGGGUCUAAUCCAGGCCAGUUCCAGGGACUCAAGGGAGGCUCAGGGAUGAGUGAAGACUGGAAACGGCACAGCUUCCGGGCAGGGGAGGGAAGAGGCUCCACCCAGGUGCAGGAGGCUGGGGCUUGGGAGGAAGGGUGCCAGGGGACAGGCAGAGGCUGCAGGGGGAGCGGGGAUGUAGGGGGAUGGCAGGAAGUUGCUGGUGAAGGGUCGGAGAGUGAGCAGCUUCACGGGGGACAGAGAAGGAGGAGGAGGAGCUCAGAGACGACUGAGAUGAUUGAGAGCAGGGAGCUCAGAGGGGACAAGGGGGAGUGAGGAGCUCUCAGCCCUGAGGCUCAACACCUGGCCAUGGGUCGUGACCAGAGUAGGACUGUCCCUUUCAUGUCUCCGCAUACCCCAAAGCACCUGGCAUCCUAUUUAAUGCUCAAUUUACCCGCGGGGAGGGUGGGAAAGGGUGAAUGAUCCAGCCUGAGGCCAAGUCCUUGCAAGGCUUCCCCUGUGCUGGGUCCCCUUAAAGGGCAGUGGACUGCCCUCCCCAAGGCAGGAGUCCUGCCUCUAGACUGGUUGGCCCAAUACAGAUGCCCUGGGCCACCCCCAACCGGUCUGCUGCCUGGAACCUGCGGGGAGUGGUAUCCAACAGAGGGAGAGCCAGAGAAACGAGCCAGGGUAUGGGGCCAGCAAAGGGCCGGUUUUGUGUACCCGAGGGCCCCGGGGGCAGAAGCAGCCUGGCACCUGGGGACAAAGCAGGGGGAGGAGAAGGAAUGGACCAGGAGGAAAAGCUGCUGGAGAUGAAAAGCAUCUCGUUCAUCUGGCAGAAGAGCUCAGUUGAGGCCCCUCCAUGUUGAAGAAUCAGGAAGCCAAAGGAAGGGGUGCUUGGGUGGCUCAGUCGGUUGAGUGUGUCUGACUCUUGAUUUCAGCUAUCAUGAUUUCAGUCGUGAGAUCGAGCCCCAUGUCAGGCUCUGCUCUGACAGUGUGGAGCCUGCUUGGGAUUCUCUCUCUCUCUCUCUCUCUCUCUCUCUCUCUGCCCUUUCCCCAUUCUGUCUCUCUCUCUCUCUCAAAAUAAAUAAAUAAACAUUUUAAAAAUAAAUAAAAAGAAAGCCAAAGGAAGAGGACACACAGAUGGAGUUUUGGCAGAGGGUUUUCACAAGUUGCUUUGGCUGUGAGGCACUCAGCUUCAGAGCCGGCCUCUUGUGGGCAUAAACAAACAACACAGAGCAGAGUGAAGUCAGCUCUGUUUCUGGCAGGAGAGGGUGGGAAUCCACAGGGCCAGGUCCGGAAACCAGCUGGCUGGUCUGACCCCCAAAGGAGCAGCAAGGCCCCCACUGGCCAGGAGGAAGCCUGCCCUCCAGCCAGCAGGGACAUGCGGGGGGCCCAGGGCAUGGUGCUGGCAGGCCUCUGGCCCUGGACCCCAGAAACGCCCUUACAGCAUCUGGCAGUCACCUUCCAGGGCUUGGCCUCUCACCGCAGGAGGGGGUGUCCCAGGGUCAUCCCCAAUUCCUCCUGUCAGCUCCCUAACGCACAAUCACCAAGGGCAUGGAUUCCACCCCCUAAAUCUCUGCCCUGCCCUUCCUCGCCCUGCCCGCCAGGAUCACCCUUCCACAGGACAUCAUCUCAUUGUCUGCCUGGAUGACUGUACCUACCUCCUAAAUAGGCUCUCAGCCUUAAGUCUUGCCCUCUUCACUCAACAGUCAGAGACUUAAGUGCCUCCGUUUUCCCAUCUAUAAAAUGGAACAAGCCCUGGCCCACGUCAAAGCUAUUCACGAAAAUGCUUUGCAAGCUCCACUUCCAAUGAGAAGUGACGUGUUUAGUAGAACAAAGCAGUGAGGGAGCUGUGCCCUAAGAUUUAGGGGGUCUGGCCAGGACGCAGGCCUGAAUGGGAGACAGGACUCCCAUGUUUUGAGUCUCAUUCUUCACUCAGCAACAAGCCUGUCUUGAAAUCAGGACAGUAUUGUCAUCUUCCAAACACUCCCCUCGGGAGCUAUGCUCAUCAGUGCUUCUAUGAGGCUGCCACUGCCAUCUGACUGUGUAGAACAAUAAAACCCCCUACUUGUUGGGCUGAUGAUAUGCAAGGUCAGUGCUAGGUGCUCUGCGUCUAACCCACUGACUCCUUCCAACUCUGCGGGGAAGGGUACACCAUCAUUUAUUGAUGGGGGACUGGAGGCUCAGAGGACAGAAGUCACGUGCCCAAGCCACACCUGGAAUGGGUGAUGGAAUGAAGAGAAGGGCCCCGGGCUGACUGACUCUGGAGCCUGGAGAAGUGUACCUUCUAGGCAAUCACCUCCAUGCUUUGAAGAGAAUGGACCCGGGCUUUCUAUGGCCCCAAAUCUAUGGGGUGCAGCCCUCUAGAUAUUAGCAGUCAAGUUAAAAAUAAAGACUGGUGGAAUCUCACGGAAACAGGUCCCUUUCAACGGUCUGGCUGGAAGUGAAGCUAAUAAAGGAGGUCCAAAGAGGGGACUGAGCCCUGGGACUGAGGGGCAGCUUCCAAAGCAGAGAAAUCGUUUUUGAAAAUCUUCUGGAUGGAUGAUAUUUUGUAAACUAUGGAGUGGAGCCUGAGACAAAGCCUGGGGUCUUGUUACAUCUUGUAUCUCAGGGUCCCUGGAGCCUUCGAAAGAUGAGCCAGGAGAGAGUUGGAGGCAAGACCACAGGAAGAAAGUGGUGGCGGGUUAGGUGGUCAGUGAUGGAGGCUGAGGCCUUUCCUCCCAGUUCUUGUGUCAGGAGCACGAAUGGCAUGGUCUCUGGACAGCUACUGGCCCAAAGGAAGGUGUUGUUGGAGAAUUCCCUUUGUAGGAGGGGCCAGGGGCAGACGCCCUACUCUACCUGGCUUCCAGAACUUCUUGGCUGUCAUCCAGUCUGUGUUGCCAUCCUCUGAGUCUGAGUUGUCUUCUGAGUCCUCCUGGUCCUCGGGCUCACCCACCCACUGCAGCCCGUAGUCACUGAGGAACCGCUGUGCAAAGAGAAGGGAAAGGUCCCAGGGGGCACAGUCAGUUCAGCCCCUCGGGGAACAGGCAGCAUCCACCCAGGCCCCAGCCUCAGGCCUCGGCUCCCAGAGUCAACUGGGCAGAAAAGAUGGGCCCCAGGGUCUUGGGAGCUUUCUGGCUGUGACCUUGGGAAGCCACUUCACCUCCUAGAGCCUCGGGCUCUUCCUUGGAAAGCAGAGAUGACAACGCCUGGCCCAUAAGCUUGUGAGGACCCAGGACGGUAAUUCAGGCCGAGUGCUUAAAGCAGGGUCUGGCAUGGAGGGCCGCACGGAAGGUGGCCCUGAUGGCAGCGGGGCACCCCAUGCAUCUGGCCUGAGCGGAGGAGCGGCAGGGACACGGGCUGCACAGGACUGAGGACGCGGUGAGCCACACGCAGCCUCUCUAGGGCCGGGCCUCACGUCCCCUCCACCACAGGAAAACUUCUGACUUGUCUACACUUCCUGUCACUGCUUCCUCAGCUCCUUCUCUCCUGAACCCACUCUACCCAGCCCCUUUCUCCACAACUGACUGGAACUGCGCGGGUGCGGCCACCAACAGCCUGCCUGGUGCCAAACCCAGCGGCCCUCUUCCGUCUUCAUCUCUUGCAACACACAUCACCCCUUCUCGGUUUCACAUUCCCAGCCGUCUUCGCUUAGACAUCUUGCCUCACUCAACACGAACUCAUCCCCAACGGUCACGACUCCGGGUCCCCCCCGCCUCCUAAACCUCUGCGCCUCCGGGUCUCAGUCAGUGGCAGCCCCUCCACCCGGGCCUCAGCCACGACCCUGAGAGGCCCGGGAGCGCCACCCGCAAAGCAGACUCAAAUCCAUCCUCUCUGCCCCAGCUCCUCAGGUUAGUCCCGAGGAGGGAAACACGGGGCAGGGCCCCACGUGGGAUAUAUGGGAGGGAGACCCAGACAGGCGGGCUCCCAGCCAGGUCCUGAGGGGCAGGCGCCUCUCUUACCUCCAUCUCCCCCACCUGCCGCUGCAGCUGCAAGCACGUGGUCUCCAGCUGCUUCUGCCGCUGCAGGGUGACCUUGCCUUCAGGGAAAGAUCAGGAAGGGUUCUGCCGCCCCAGCAAGGAGGCUGCCAGACCACCUCUGGCCUCGCCCGGCGUUCUGCCCUGAGGGUCAUCUGGAGAGGCUGCCCCUUGAGAACUCGAGGGGUCCCCUGAAAACUCUCCCCCUGACCUUGAGGCAGGGAUGCCUAGACUGACUCUCAGGAGACCGCCAGCCACCCCUCUCAGCCCCCCGACCCGGGGGCUCCUGAGGGCACCAUGUUCCCCGACAUGGCGCACCCUAUGCUCGGGGCUGGGCUAUGUCUGCAUUCGGGGGGACCCGGUCCCACAUAGGAGGGCACUGCCCUGAGUGCGUCAUUGCCUCUCUCCGGGCUCAGCUGUCCAGGCCUCACCAUAGGACUCAGCUUGAUGCUCUUGGAGCCCUGAUGUCCAGGAGCCACCGGCCCAAGGGAGGUGCCCCAGGAAGGCUGACCAGCCCACCGGGAAUGCCCCUUACCCUGGUGCUCCCGGAGGGUCUGCAACAUUUCCUCCAGGGCCCGUAUCUUCCGAUCCUACAGCAACAAGACAAGGGGGAGCAGGCAGGCCUGAGGGUUCCCAGAGCACAAGAGAACCCAUCUUCCAGAUGGGAAGAUCCAAACUUUUUGCCUCUGUGGGGCACCGGGGAGUUGAAAGACCCUGCCCCUGCCAUCCUUUGGCACAGCCGCUGCUCCUAUGCCUCAGAUAUCCUUGUGGUUCCACUGAAAUGGGGAUAGGCGUGGAGUGUGCCCAAGUGGCCCAGCGCUCAGCAGUCACUGCUGCCACGUGGUCCAAGGCUAGUGGCCUUACUCAGCUAUAGAGAAGACCCUUAGCUUCUCUGCUCAGCUCCCGGGGACCCAGAUCAGCCCCAGGCCAUACCUGGCCCUUGAACUGGGAAGUUCAGUGGAAGAGAUGGUCCUAGAACCCACCCACCCUGGCCUACUGUGGCAGUGAACUCACUGGCCUCCCCAGCCUGGGCCCCUCCACCCCUCAGACCAGACCCUGGGCCUACCCCCACCGCUGGGGGUCCCACCUUGGACAGCAGCUCAUCAGUCUGAGCCUUCACUUGCUGUUCCAGGUCCCGCAACUUCCUCGACAGGGUGGCCACCAGCUCCGAGUCAUGGAAUACAGGGACUACCAAACAGACAAAGUCCUGGAGCUGAGGCUGAAGUGUGGGGGUCCAGUGGAGGGGGGACAGGGGUCCGCAGAAGCAGAAAUAAGGGUGAUACUAACAGCUGCCACUUAGAUAAUAGGGACUGUCCUAAAUACUUCACACAUAUCAGCUCAUGCUGUCCUCACAAUGUGCCCCUGAGGAAAUGAACUGCUUUAGGAAACUGAGGCAGAGGUGCAGUGAGGUGUCCAAUGAGUAUGAGUGAGUGCUGUACCAUACAGGUCACAUGACCAGUGAAGCAUUUUCAGAAAGUCACCCUCAAUCAAAUGAAGCGCCUACACCUUGCCACCCCCACCCCCACCCCCCGUUUACAGGAACACAGCGGAGAGAGGAGCAAGUCCGCACCAACGACAAACAAGUACACAGACCCGCAUGGCCUGGCUCCUCACAGAGUCCGUGUCACUUUUUCAAAAGGCAAGGACUCUGUUCCACAGAGGUGUUAACAGUCAAAUGCAGUGCACGGCCCUGACCAGAACCUAGAUCAGGAAAAACAAUAGCUAUGAGCUACUUCGGAAGUCGGGAGAUCUGAGCGCAGAAGUGGUGCUCCACAGCAGUCCUGAGUCCUGCGCCUUCUUGGGUGCGGUCCCGGUCCCGGGGUCACGUGAGUCCUCCUUUGUAGGAGAUGCAUGCUGAAGUUUUUAGAGGUGAAAUGUCAUGAUAUCUAAAAUUGAUUUCUAAGCGGUUCCUCAAAAAAAGACAUUUACAUUCGUACAUAUGUGUAUAUGGACAGAGAGAAAACAAAUUAGUGGCCAAAUAUCACCAACUGUGGCAUCUAGAUAACAGACAUUUAUAUGGGUGUGCACUGUACCAUUAUUUUAAUUGCUUUGUAGGCUGCAAGUUCCUCAAAAUUAGAAAUUUGGGGAAAGGAAACAAGACGGCACAAAAACAGACACUCAGAUCAAUGGAACAGAAUAGAAAACCCAGAAAUGGACCCACACAUGUAAGGCCAACUAAUCUUUGACAAAGCAGGAAAGAAUAUCCUUGCUGAAGACAGUCUCUUCAGCAACUGGUGCUGGGAAAACUGGACAGCAACAUGCAGAAAAAUGAACCUGGACCAUUUUCUCACCCCAUACACAAAAAUAAACUCAAAACGGAUGAAAGACCUCAAUGUAAGACAGGAAGCCAUCAAAAUCCUCGAGGAGAAAGCAGACAAAAACCUCUUUGACCUCGGCCGCAGCAACUUCUUACCCCACACAUCUGCGGAGGCAAGGGAAACAAAAGCAAAAGUGAACUACUGGGACCUCAUCAAAAUAAAAAGCUUCUGCAACAGCGAAGGAAACAGUCAGCAAAACUAAAAGGCAACUGACAGAAUGGGAGAAGAUAUUUACAUACAACAACAUAUCAGAUAAAGGUUAGUAUUCUAUAAAGAACUUACCAAACUCAACAUCCAAAAAACAAAUAAUCCAGUGAAGAAAUGGGCAAAAGACACGAAUAGACAUUUCUCCAAAGAAGACAUCCAGAUGGCCAACCGACACAUGAAAAAAUGUUCAACAUCACUCAUCAUCAGGGGAAUACAAAUCAAAACCACAAUGAGAUACCACCUCACACCUGUCAGAAUGGCUAACAUGAGCAACUCAGGCAACAACAGAUGUUGGCGAGGAUGCGGAGAGAGAGGAUCUCUUUUGCAUUGUUGGUGGGAAUGCAAACUGGUGCAGCCAUUCUGAAAAAUAGUAUGGAGGUUCCUUAAAAAAUUAAAAAUAGAACUACUCUACAACCCAGCAAUUGCACUACUAGGUAUUUAUCCAAGGGAGACAGGUGUGCUGUUUCGAAGGGACACAUGUACCCCAAAGUUUAUAGCAGCACUAUCAGCAAUAGCCAAAGUAUGGAAAGAGCCCAAAUGUCCACCGAUGGAUGAAUGGAUAAAGAAGAUGUGGUGUGUAUAUAUAUACAAUGGAGUAUUACUCGGCAAUCAAAGAGAAUGAAAUCUUGCCUUUCGCAACUACGUGGAUGGAACUGGAGGGUAUUAUGCUAAGCGAAAUUAGUCAGAGAAAGACAAAUAUAUGACUUCAAGCAUAUGAGGACUUUAAGACACAGAACAGAUGAAUACAAGGGAAGGGAAGCAAAACUAAUAUAAAAACAGGGAGGGGGACAAAACAUAAGAGACUCUUAAAUAUGGAGAACAAACAGAGGGUGACUAGAGGGGUCCUGGGAGGCGGUACGGGCUAAAUGGGUAAGGGGCAUUAAGGAAUCUACUCCUGAAAUCAUUGUUGCACUAUAUGCUAACUAACUUGGAGGUAAAUUGAAAGAAAGAAAGAAAGAGAGAGAGAGAGAGAGAGAGAGAGAGAGAGAGAGAGAAAGAAAGAAAGAAAGAAAGAAAGAAAGAAA